RNAcentral lists this transfer RNA (84 nucleotides) under Enterococcus sp. RNAcentral describes it as "tRNA-Leu". It matches the Rfam family "tRNA". From Rfam's summary of the family: Transfer RNA (tRNA) molecules are approximately 80 nucleotides in length. Their secondary structure includes four short double-helical elements and three loops (D, anti-codon, and T loops). Lineage: Bacteria; Bacillati; Bacillota; Bacilli; Lactobacillales; Enterococcaceae. RNAcentral also lists the same sequence under 1 other name. The record is from RNAcentral.
GCGGAAAUGACGGAAUGGCAGACGUGCAAGAUUGAGGGUCUUGUGAGCAUAUUGCUCGUGUGGGUUCAAAUCCCAUUUUCCGCA